GGUUAAGCGACUAAGCGUACACGGUGGAUGCCCUGGCAGUCAGAGGCGAUGAAGGACGUGCUAAUCUGCGAAAAGCGUCGGUAAGGUGAUAUGAACCGUUAUAACCGGCGAUGUCCGAAUGGGGAAACCCAGUGCAAUUCGUUGCACUAUCGUUAACUGAAUACAUAGGUUAACGAGGCGAACCGGGGGAACUGAAACAUCUAAGUACCCCGAGGAAAAGAAAUCAACCGAGAUUCCCCCAGUAGCGGCGAGCGAACGGGGAGCAGCCCAGAGUCUGAAUCAGCUUGUGUGUUAGUGGAACGGUCUGGAAAGUCCGACGGUACAGGGUGAUAGUCCCGUACACCAAAAUGCACAGGUUGUGAACUCGAAGAGUAGGGCGGGACACGUGGUAUCCUGUCUGAAUAUGGGGGGACCAUCCUCCAAGGCUAAAUACUCCUGACUGACCGAUAGUGAACCAGUACCGUGAGGGAAAGGCGAAAAGAACCCCGGCGAGGGGAGUGAAAAAGAACCUGAAACCGUGUACGUACAAGCAGUGGGAGCACCUUCGGGUGUGACUGCGUACCUUUUGUAUAAUGGGUCAGCGACUUAUAUUCUGUAGCAAGGUUAACCGUAUAGGGGAGCCGCAGGGAAACCGAGUCUUAACUGGGCGUUAAGUUGCAGGGUAUAGACCCGAAACCCGGUGAUCUAGCCAUGGGCAGGUUGAAGGUUGGGUAACACUAACUGGAGGACCGAACCGACUAAUGUUGAAAAAUUAGCGGAUGACUUGUGGCUGGGGGUGAAAGGCCAAUCAAACCGGGAGAUAGCUGGUUCUCCCCGAAAGCUAUUUAGGUAGCGCCUCGUGAACUCAUCUUCGGGGGUAGAGCACUGUUUCGGCUAGGGGGUCAUCCCGACUUACCAACCCGAUGCAAACUACGAAUACCGAAGAAUGUUAUCACGGGAGACACACGGCGGGUGCUAACGUCCGUCGUGAAGAGGGAAACAACCCAGACCGCCAGCUAAGGUCCCAAAGUCAUGGUUAAGUGGGAAACGAUGUGGGAAGGCACAGACAGCCAGGAUGUUGGCUUAGAAGCAGCCAUCAUUUAAAGAAAGCGUAAUAGCUCACUGGUCGAGUCGGCCUGCGCGGAAGAUGUAACGGGGCUAAACCAUGCACCGAAGCUGCGGCAGCGACACUAUGUGUUGUUGGGUAGGGGAGCGUUCUGUAAGCCUGCGAAGGUGUGCUGUGAGGCAUGCUGGAGGUAUCAGAAGUGCGAAUGCUGACAUAAGUAACGAUAAAGCGGGUGAAAAGCCCGCUCGCCGGAAGACCAAGGGUUCCUGUCCAACGUUAAUCGGGGCAGGGUGAGUCGACCCCUAAGGCGAGGCCGAAAGGCGUAGUCGAUGGGAAACAGGUUAAUAUUCCUGUACUUGGUGUUACUGCGAAGGGGGACGGAGAAGGCUAUGUUAGCCGGGCGACGGUUGUCCCGGUUUAAGCAUGUAGGCUGGUUAUCCAGGCAAAUCCGGAUAAUCAAGGCUGAGGUGUGAUGACGAGGCACUACGGUGCUGAAGUAACAAAUGCCCUGCUUCCAGGAAAAGCCUCUAAGCAUCAGGUAACAUCAAAUCGUACCCCAAACCGACACAGGUGGUCAGGUAGAGAAUACCAAGGCGCUUGAGAGAACUCGGGUGAAGGAACUAGGCAAAAUGGUGCCGUAACUUCGGGAGAAGCACGCUGGUGUGUAGGUGAAGUCCCUGCGGAUGGAGCUGAGACCAGUCGAAGAUACCAGCUGGCUGCAACUGUUUAUUAAAAACACAGCACUGUGCAAACACGAAAGUGGACGUAUACGGUGUGACGCCUGCCCGGUGCCGGAAGGUUAAUUGAUGGGGUUAUCCGUAAGGAGAAGCUCUUGAUCGAAGCCCCGGUAAACGGCGGCCGUAACUAUAACGGUCCUAAGGUAGCGAAAUUCCUUGUCGGGUAAGUUCCGACCUGCACGAAUGGCGUAAUGAUGGCCAGGCUGUCUCCACCCGAGACUCAGUGAAAUUGAACUCGCUGUGAAGAUGCAGUGUACCCGCGGCAAGACGGAAAGACCCCGUGAACCUUUACUAUAGCUUGACACUGAACAUUGAGCCUUGAUGUGUAGGAUAGGUGGGAGGCUUUGAAGCGUGGACGCCAGUCUGCGUGGAGCCAACCUUGAAAUACCACCCUUUAAUGUUUGAUGUUCUAACGUUGGCCCCUGACCGGGGUUGCGGACAGUGUCUGGUGGGUAGUUUGACUGGGGCGGUCUCCUCCCAAAGCGUAACGGAGGAGCACGAAGGUUAGCUAAUCCUGGUCGGACAUCAGGAGGUUAGUGCAAUGGCAUAAGCUAGCUUGACUGCGAGCGUGACGGCGCGAGCAGGUGCGAAAGCAGGUCAUAGUGAUCCGGUGGUUCUGAAUGGAAGGGCCAUCGCUCAACGGAUAAAAGGUACUCCGGGGAUAACAGGCUGAUACCGCCCAAGAGUUCAUAUCGACGGCGGUGUUUGGCACCUCGAUGUCGGCUCAUCACAUCCUGGGGCUGAAGUAGGUCCCAAGGGUAUGGCUGUUCGCCAUUUAAAGUGGUACGCGAGCUGGGUUUAGAACGUCGUGAGACAGUUCGGUCCCUAUCUGCCGUGGGCGCUGGAGAAUUGAGGGGGCUGCUCCUAGUACGAGAGGACCGGAGUGGACGCAUCACUGGUGUUCGGGUUGUCAUGCCAAUGGCACUGCCCGGUAGCUAAAUGCGGAAGAGAUAAGUGCUGAAAGCAUCUAAGCACGAAACUUGCCCCGAGAUGAGUUCUCCCUGAGACUAUAAGUCUCCUGAAGGAACGUUAAAGACGAUGACGUUGAUAGGCCGGGUGUGUAAGCGCAGCGAUGCGUUGAGCUAACCGGUACUAAUGAACCGUGAGGCUUAACCUU
This 2899-nucleotide ribosomal RNA is filed under the name Klebsiella pneumoniae subsp. pneumoniae. RNAcentral's name for it is "23S ribosomal RNA". It matches the Rfam family "Bacterial large subunit ribosomal RNA". Lineage: Bacteria; Pseudomonadati; Pseudomonadota; Gammaproteobacteria; Enterobacterales; Enterobacteriaceae. The record is from RNAcentral.